RNAcentral lists this non-coding RNA (23 nucleotides) under Arabidopsis thaliana (thale cress). The record is from RNAcentral. Lineage: Eukaryota; Viridiplantae; Streptophyta; Magnoliopsida; Brassicales; Brassicaceae.
CGUCUGCCGCAGCCGCAACUACC